RNAcentral lists this ribosomal RNA (207 nucleotides) under uncultured bacterium. Its description in RNAcentral is "partial 16S ribosomal RNA". It matches the Rfam family "Bacterial small subunit ribosomal RNA", at positions 1296 to 1500 of the family's 1533-position model. The record is from RNAcentral.
GAUUGUAGGCUGAAACUCGCCUACAUGAAGCUGGAGUUACUAGUAAUCGCAGAUCAGAAUGCUGCGGUGAAUGCGUUCCCGGGUCUUGUACACACCGCCCGUCACACCACGGAAGUUGGGGGCGCCCGAAGCCACUUAGCUAACCCUUUUGGGAAGCGAGUGUCGAAGGUGAAAUCAAUAACUGGGGUGAAGUCGUAACAAGGUAGC